This 440-nucleotide ribosomal RNA is filed under the name uncultured bacterium. RNAcentral's name for it is "partial 16S ribosomal RNA". It matches the Rfam family "Bacterial small subunit ribosomal RNA", at positions 338 to 795 of the family's 1533-position model. The record is from RNAcentral.
CCUACGGGAGGCAGCAGUGGGGGAUAUUGCACAAUGGGCGAAACCCUGAUGCAGCGACACCGCGUGAGUGAAGACGUAUUUCGGUAUGUAAAGCUCUAUCAGCAGGGAAGAAAAUGACAGUACCUGACCAAGAAGCCCCGUCUAACUACGUGCCAGCAGCCGCGGUAAGACGGAGGGGGCCAGCGUUAUCCGGAUGUACUGGGUGUAAAGGGAGCGUAGACGGUUUGGUAAGUCUGGAGUGAAAGCCCGGGGCCCAACCCCGGGACUGCAUUGGAAACUGUGUAACUGGAGUACAGGAGGGGCAGGCGGAAUUCGUGGUGUAGCGGUGAAAUGCGUAGAUAUCAGGAAGAACACCGGCGGCGAAGGCGGCCUGCUGGACUGAAACUGACGUUGAGGCUCGAAAGCGUGGGGAGCAAACAGGAUUAGAUACCCGAGUAGUC